CGGGCCGGGCGCGGCGGCGGACGGAGGGUCGGCGGAGGAGCCCCGGGGCGGCGGCCGCUGCACCCGCUGCCUGUCGUCUGCGAGGUGUCCGGCCGCCCGCCCGGGGCCCCUUUUGCAGGCUCGGUGCCCGGAGUGCGCCGGCGCCGCCUGCCCGGUCUUGGCACCGCCCGCGCGGCCCCGGCAGCGAGGGCCAGGCUCCAGAUCCCCGACCUCCGUGAGCACUGACUCCAUACGUCCGCUAUUUGGACUCCAUGUCUUCUGCAUAUUUAUGGUCGCCCGUCACAUUCCCUCGCCGCUGGGUUUCCGUUGACAGUUUCCAAAACACUCGGGCAAGGAGGAGCUCGGGGAUGCUGCCCUGCAGCCCUCAGUCAAGAGGAUCUUAAGCAUUGUCCCUAAAUCACCUGCCCUGACCCUUGAAUACUAUUACCUUCGAGAAUGUCCUGCUGCCGCAAAUUGCCCGUGACGUCAGAGAUGCCGCGAUAUCCUUGCUCUGCAGUUGAAAUUCCAACGGUUUUAGGAACUCUGUGCCAGGAGCCAGGGCGAAGACCAGAUACGCAUUUCUUAUGAAAUCCCAAUAUUGCCCAUCCACCGUGGACACUUCCUUGAGCAGACGCUUCAACAGAGCAGAGGACAGCGCAAGGGUGACGAUGCCCAGUUGAGGACGAUGGAGAGGAUAUCUUCUGUGGGAGGGAGGAAGGAGACUGGGAGCCCGUCACACGUUUCCCAGCGGGUUCACCAGGGAUGUCUCCCAAGCUCUGUAAACGUAGCAUACCUUCACUCCUGAAGCUGUGGCACCCUCUCUUACGAGUUCCAUUCCCCUCUCCCUGGUUUGCUGACACUACAAACCUUGGUUAUUUGUCCUUAUCUCUUUGCUUUACCUAUUUUCACCCUGCAGACGUUCUUUGUUUUGUCCCCCAGCCAUCCCAGCUACUAUUACCCUAGGAGAGUCCUUCCAUGUGUCUCUCCUGGAAGAUUUCAGCAGAGGGGGGCAGAAAGGCCUGCAGACUCUGGAGUCAGACUCCCCAGGUUUCCUUGGUUGCUCUAUACUUACUAGCUUUGACCCCCUGACAACUGACUUAACCCCCUGCUCUUCUGUCUCCUCCUGUCACUUGAGAUGCACAAUAGCAUUUGUGACCUUCAGUCAUAGCGAGGAUUAAGUGAAAUCCAACGUGGAAAAUGCUUGGAAUGGUGCCUAGCAUGUCACAAAUACACAAUAAACCCUAGAGACAUUUCAAAAGCCUCCUAACUGGCUUCACUACCUUCUCAUCUCUCUCUCUCUCUCAGUUUCUUUAUUCCCCACAUGCUGGGCAGAUUGGUCUCUAUAAUACAUCUGAACAAGGCACUUCCCCCCGGAACACUUUUCAUGAUGCUUUGGACCUCCUUAAGCUGGCUCCGGGCUAUCUGCCCAGUGUCAUCUCCUGCCACGUCUCUGCUGCACUCUGCUCUCCUGGUCCUCGCACCUUCGUCUGUGUUCCCAUCUCUGUGCUUUGGGGGCUCUUGCCCUGGGAUUUCCUUCUUUCUCCUUUCCUCCUUGGCAAUCCACCUCCCAUCCUUCCAGGCACAGGUUAGAUGUCAUAUCCUCUGUGAAAACUUUCCUGAAACUCCCCCUCUUCAUCACCAAGUCAUUUUGGUGGUUUCAUCUUCUGUAGUCCCAUGGCAAUUUGUAUACAUCCUUCCACCUUAACCCAGCACAAUGUGAAUGUGCACCCCACACCACUGUGCCCCAUGGAGGGGGACGUCAUCCCAUCCUGCAUAUCUUGGUUUCCACAGGAUUUCCUCAUGACUUGAUCCCUGUAUACCUGUUAAAGAAAAAGAGACAAUAGGCCCAAAAUGGAGUUACUUGUGCUAAGGCCAAUGUCAGCAAAUCAAGGCUUAAUACUUACCCUAAUUGCAGUUUCAGAUUCUCCCAGGAAUGUGAUCCUUAUCUAGUCAACCUGGAAUUACCUGAUCAGCCUUAGUGAGGUGAUCCGCAUGCUAGACCCCUGCCCUUCCCCCAAAGGAAGCUUGCCCCAAAUGGUCCAAUCUAUUAAAACUGUCUUUCCUACCCCCUUCUGCCUGUAAAAUCUUCCAUUUUGUACCCUUCCUUGGAGCUCCUUUUUACUUGUUGGAUGGGAUGCCGCAUGAUUCAUGUAUUGUUGAAUA
This is a long non-coding RNA of Zalophus californianus (California sea lion), 2142 nucleotides long. RefSeq lists it as uncharacterized. The record is from RefSeq and is a predicted model, not a curated record. The transcript is spliced from 3 exons. Lineage: Eukaryota; Metazoa; Chordata; Mammalia; Carnivora; Otariidae.